UUUAUGGAGAGUUUGAUCCUGGCUCAGGAUGAACGCUGGCGGCGUGCCUAAUACAUGCAAGUCGAGCGAACGGACGAGAAGCUUGCUUCUCUGAUGUUAGCGGCGGACGGGUGAGUAACACGUGGAUAACCUACCUAUAAGACUGGGAUAACUUCGGGAAACCGGAGCUAAUACCGGAUAAUAUUUUGAACCGCAUGGUUCAAAAGUGAAAGACGGUCUUGCUGUCACUUAUAGAUGGAUCCGCGCUGCAUUAGCUAGUUGGUAAGGUAACGGCUUACCAAGGCAACGAUGCAUAGCCGACCUGAGAGGGUGAUCGGCCACACUGGAACUGAGACACGGUCCAGACUCCUACGGGAGGCAGCAGUAGGGAAUCUUCCGCAAUGGGCGAAAGCCUGACGGAGCAACGCCGCGUGAGUGAUGAAGGUCUUCGG
RNAcentral lists this ribosomal RNA (431 nucleotides) under Staphylococcus aureus. RNAcentral's name for it is "bacterial SSU rRNA". It matches the Rfam family "Bacterial small subunit ribosomal RNA", at positions 1 to 421 of the family's 1533-position model. Lineage: Bacteria; Bacillati; Bacillota; Bacilli; Caryophanales; Staphylococcaceae. The record is from RNAcentral.